CCUACGGGUGGCAGCAGUGGGGAAUAUUGGACAAUGGGCGAAAGCCUGAUCCAGCCAUGCCGCGUGUGUGAAGAAGGCCUUCGGGUUGUAAAGCACUUUCAGUGGGGAAGAAAGCCUUGGGGCUAAUACCCUCGAGGAAGGACAUCACCCACAGAAGAAGCACCGGCUAACUCCGUGCCAGCAGCCGCGGUAAUACGGAGGGUGCGAGCGUUAAUCGGAAUUACUGGGCGUAAAGCGCGCGUAGGCGGUCUGAUAAGCCGGUUGUGAAAGCCCCGGGCUCAACCUGGGAACGGCAUCCGGAACUGUCAGGCUAGAGUGCAGGAGAGGAAGGUAGAAUUCCCGGUGUAGCGGUGAAAUGCGUAGUGAUCGGGAGGAAUACCAGUGGCGAAGGCGGCCUUCUGGACUGACACUGACGCUGAGGUGCGAAAGCGUGGGUAGCAAACAGGAUUAGAUACCCCAGUAGUC
This 465-nucleotide ribosomal RNA is filed under the name Vreelandella stevensii. RNAcentral's name for it is "partial 16S ribosomal RNA". It matches the Rfam family "Bacterial small subunit ribosomal RNA", at positions 338 to 795 of the family's 1533-position model. Lineage: Bacteria; Pseudomonadati; Pseudomonadota; Gammaproteobacteria; Oceanospirillales; Halomonadaceae. The record is from RNAcentral.